CACCUUGGCUCAAGGAGGUGCCGGCAUAAAAUUGGAACGAUACAGAGAAGAUUAGCAUGGCCCCUGCGCAAGGAUGACACGCAAAAUCGUGAAGCGUUCGAUAAAGUU
Molecule: small nuclear RNA, 108 nt
Organism: Photinus pyralis (common eastern firefly)
Lineage: Eukaryota; Metazoa; Arthropoda; Insecta; Coleoptera; Lampyridae
Source: RefSeq, a predicted model, not a curated record